AUUGAACGCUGGCGGCAUGCCUUACACAUGCAAGUCGAACGGCAGCACGGGAGCAAUCCUGGUGGCGAGUGGCGAACGGGUGAGUAAUAUAUCGGAACGUGCCCAGUCGUGGGGGAUAACGUAGCGAAAGCUACGCUAAUACCGCAUACGAUCUAUGGAUGAAAGGCGGGGGAUCGACAAGACCUCGCGCGAUUGGAGCGGCCGAUAUCAGAUUAGGUAGUUGGUGAGGUAAAGGCUCACCAAGCCGACGAUCUGUAGCUGGUCUGAGAGGACGACAGCCACACUGGGACUGAGAC
This 296-nucleotide ribosomal RNA is filed under the name uncultured bacterium. RNAcentral describes it as "partial 16S ribosomal RNA". It matches the Rfam family "Bacterial small subunit ribosomal RNA", at positions 30 to 325 of the family's 1533-position model. The record is from RNAcentral.